RNAcentral lists this long non-coding RNA (554 nucleotides) under Homo sapiens (human). RNAcentral describes it as "long non-coding RNA NONHSAT243198". Lineage: Eukaryota; Metazoa; Chordata; Mammalia; Primates; Hominidae. The record is from RNAcentral.
UAGAUUUAAUUGUGCUCUGUAAAUAGAUAUAUUACCAGAAACACAGUGGAUGUCCUGUUGAGAUUUCUUUUUAAAACAUGAUAUUACUGCACAUUGUUGGGGAUAAAUAAGGCACUUGAACUUGUAUCCUGGCUGACGUGAUCCACUAGAAUAACAUAUUCCUUUAGAAGAUGCUACUCUUUAGAAAUCACAGUUGCUAGCCUGAAGUUACCCUAAUUGUUAAAAGGUAGUACUGUAUCCAAAGAGAGAGACAAAGCAAUUACUGUCCUUCUGUUAACAACCCAAGCAUAUUUUCCAGUGAGACCCUUGAAAACUGUUCCGUGUUCAAAAAAUUACCACUUUACCCACAAACUUUCUGAGAACUGAAAAUAGUUUAUUUGCACCAAAUUCCCUUGAUUUAAGGCUUAUUAACUUGAAAAGAGCUCAGUGACAUCUGGAAUUGUAUAAUAGUCUUGCCACAGCACUGGCAUACGGAGUUGCAUUUUAACGAAGAAGAUCAGGAAUAAACCCAUGUAUUUGUUUCAAAUAAUAAAGUUUACUGUAGUUGGUGGGCA